AUUGAACGCUGGCGGCAGGCUUAACACAUGCAAGUCGAGCGGUAGCACAGGGGAGCUUGCUCCCUGGGUGACGAGCGGCGGACGGGUGAGUAAUGUCUGGGAAACUGCCUGAUGGAGGGGGAUAACUACUGGAAACGGUAGCUAAUACCGCAUAACGUCGCAAGACCAAAGAGGGGGACCUUCGGGCCUCUUGCCAUCAGAUGUGCCCAGAUGGGAUUAGCUAGUAGGUGGGGUAAUGGCUCACCUAGGCGACGAUCCCUAGCUGGUCUGAGAGGAUGACCAGCCACACUGGAACUGAGACACGGUCCAGACUCCUACGGGAGGCAGCAGUGGGGAAUAUUGCACAAUGGGCGCAAGCCUGAUGCAGCCAUGCCGCGUGUGUGAAGAAGGCCUUCGGGUUGUAAAGCACUUUCAGCGAGGAGGAAGGUGGUGAGCUUAAUACGCUCAUCAAUUGACGUACUCGCAGAAGAAGCCCGCAUCCCCG
RNAcentral lists this ribosomal RNA (484 nucleotides) under Stenotrophomonas acidaminiphila. Its description in RNAcentral is "bacterial SSU rRNA". It matches the Rfam family "Bacterial small subunit ribosomal RNA", at positions 30 to 505 of the family's 1533-position model. The record is from RNAcentral. Lineage: Bacteria; Pseudomonadati; Pseudomonadota; Gammaproteobacteria; Lysobacterales; Lysobacteraceae. RNAcentral also lists the same sequence under 1 other name.